This 357-nucleotide ribosomal RNA is filed under the name Westindia haxairei. RNAcentral describes it as "partial 28S ribosomal RNA". The record is from RNAcentral. Lineage: Eukaryota; Metazoa; Arthropoda; Insecta; Lepidoptera; Erebidae.
GAGAGAUUCAUCGUCAUUCCGCGGCGUACGGGCUGCGCGCUUCGAUGUCGUCGGCCUAGGUCGUCAGGCACGACGCGCGUCCGUCGACGUCCGCGGACGGCGUGCACUUCUCUCUUAGUAAAUACAUCGCGACCCGUUCGAUGUCGGUCUAAGCGCCGUUCGGGAGCCCCAUGGUCCCUUAACGGGGUCUGUGGGACCGCGACGGUGGCCGACCGGCCGUCGGACGGUAGUUCUGACGAAACGCGCACGCGUUUUUAACGCGUCCGGCCCGACGCAAGUCAACGUCGUAUCCAACGUACCGCCUUAGCGCGGACGUAGGUGCGGCGCGUCUGUUGUUGCAGCCGUGCAGUCUCGGAC